GCGAUUGGCACGGUAAGAGUAUACGAGUAUGGGAUCAGUUGCAGCGAGGGGAGUGGAUGCUCUGGCUCUAUUCCUAUUUGGAUAUCGGCCCAGUCAGCAGACAGUACACAACGAAGAGCGGUUCCCUACUUCACUGUCAUUCUCCACUCAGCUCAGCAGCUGCCAAGCAACCAGGCUACAUACAGUACACUACAAACCAGGAGAUGCAAGACCACCAACACCAGGAACAUCUGGGACCAGGCUACAUAAACACACCUUUAGAUCUGUAGGAAUGCUGUGAUGUCGAUGGGUGUAGAGGUGUCUGAUUGGCCCAUGUCUUUCACCAGUCACCUACUGACAACGCCUGGUAUUGUUGAAGAUUUGUGAAAAUGUGCCUGUAUGUGAGUACGUACAGUGUCUGUUAGUAUGUUAUAUGCUUGUCUUCGUGUGUAAAGCAUGAAGUGUGUGUGUUGCCACAAUCAGGCAUAAAGAGCAUUGCUUUGUAGUACAACGUAGUAGCCUACAUCAGGCAAUUAAGAGUCUACCUGCUUUAACUACAGGCAAAAUAAACUAAAUCUAAUGCAAAUUGAUGCAAGCUUUUCCUAGCUGAUAUAGGAAACUUGGCAACUGCCCAGUAUGAAAACUGGUUCAGAUGUGUGUGCAUGGAUCUGACACCAGAGGUUGCCUGGGGCAACAUUAGGUAUAAAUAACUAAGGUCAGACAAGAAAAAAAAUGAUUUUCCUCCUAGGCAAUGAGAUAAUUAGUUGUCAAGCUGCAUUAUGGGUAAUUAAUGUGGAAAAGUUUUAUUACAUAUGAAACAAACCAACACCAUAACAACAUGUUAAUUGUUAUACUUCCAACUGUUGCAAUGAAUCAGACUAACAUGGAUAGCAUGUUUGACUGAAUCAAAGUAAACCUGAAUUAAAAA
Long non-coding RNA from Oncorhynchus tshawytscha (Chinook salmon), 907 nucleotides. RefSeq lists it as uncharacterized. The transcript is spliced from 2 exons. The record is from RefSeq and is a predicted model, not a curated record. Lineage: Eukaryota; Metazoa; Chordata; Actinopteri; Salmoniformes; Salmonidae.